This is a long non-coding RNA of Macrosteles quadrilineatus (aster leafhopper), 3528 nucleotides long. RefSeq lists it as uncharacterized. The record is from RefSeq and is a predicted model, not a curated record. NCBI's taxonomy places the organism in Eukaryota, Metazoa, Arthropoda, Insecta, Hemiptera, Cicadellidae. The transcript has 2 exons.
CCUGCUAUCAAACAGAAGGCUCAUUGUCUACCAGGAGUGGAGUACUUGUACAGUGUGAUGAGUCCUAACCAGCUAGAGAUCCCUGCCUUCAUCACAGAGUAUGACAUGAGUAUCAACGGGAUCCGCUACUACCACCCUGGGCCCACGACCUAGGCACCCUGCCGCAGUUAGGCCACCUACCAACAGUAUUCGCUUGUGUCAACGAUCAGCAAACGUCAGCGUAGAGUCGCUUCGCCUACACUCUGCGCUCGUUCUUCAAUCAUCGUUUGUUUGUUUGUUUACCUGUUGUGUUUGACGACGUUUGUAUAUUAUUGUUAUCAAAUUGUUGAUGCGUGUGCAAGUGCGAGUGUGAAUGUAGUUUCUUCCAAUCUCUUUAUAAGUGGGAAACAAUCGCAUGUCCUGUCUCUGCCCUCGUGUCUUCUUCUGUCUGUAUUCGGAAGGAAGAUAAUUCCUUUUGAGUUGGCGACGACAAGUUACUUAUAUUUAGUAGUUAGGGGAUAUUAUAUAUUAUUGUUUUUUACCCCAGUUAUGAUUAUUACGAAUAUGCCGAAAUAUGGUGCAACUAUAUUUUUAACUCGAUUAAUAUUGUACAGUUUUUUCUAACGUUUAUAUGAUUGUUUACUGACAUUAUAAAUUGAGAAUUGUUUAUAUAAAUUAUGUUUAUUUUUAAUAUAUAGUUUAUGAAGAUCAAUAUUAAUUAAUCAUUUUGACCUUAUAAUAAGACGUUUGAAUAUGACUAGUUUUUAAAACAGUUUACUUACUCAAGAUUAAUCUUGUACCUAUUAAGACUUAUUACUUCACUUCACAGUUCACAGAAGGCUCUCUUAACUUUCAGAGUUUUUCUAGUAAUCCAUUCUACAAGAUUUUCGUUCCUCUUUCUAUGCUUUGUGUUUAUUUCCAAAGAAUAUUUACGUACUUUGUCGUUCAACGACCAAUUUAGUAGACCUGGUUAUUUAUCCCAUCUUCAUUUUAUCAGGAUAAAAUAUUUUAGAUUCUUUUACUCAAAUACAAUAUUUUUUCAAAGGUUCAACAUGAAAUUGACUUGUCAAUAAUCAAGUUAAGGGAGUCUCUGUAUCUAAUCUCUCAAUAAUCUAAACAUGAAAACUGAAAUUAUUGCAUUUAAAACAGACAAUAUUCUGCACCUAUGUAUUUUUUUAUUGCACAUUGCUCUGACUAAUUGUGCAGGUUCAAACCUCAAGGAAGUGAUUAUUUUUUUUGUUUGUUUUAUUGUAAUACUGAAUUUUUAAAGUUAAUAAAUAAAGACUGUAACUCCUUAAAUUUUUCUCAUAGCUUUUGUUAAAAUUAAAUUUUUAAUCUUUUGCUACUUUCAGUGGGAUAUUUUGUUAAAUGAGUUUAGAUGGGAACGUGGUGUUAUCGUGUUGGUAUUCUGCCUUCCUGUCAAUGUCACAGCCACCUCGGCCGGUCUGUAGUUGCUCACUUGAUUUUCGGCCGAUUUUUGUCAGAACUUUGCCCUUUGUUUACCGCACUUUUUAGGGAAAUCGCACUCAAUGUAAGAUGACGAGCCACUUUAGGAUUGAACAGUUUACGAUAUUUACAACUUUGUCUUGUAUGUGCAUUGUCGGUAAAAGAUGGCUCUCCCUUGAGAUUAGUCUAAAAUUUAGCGCUUUGUGUGAUUUAGUAUGUAGGAAUUGACUAAAUCGAAGGCAAUCCAGUCCAAGUCGGUGUAGUGUAAGUAGCAAUAUUAGUUUCAAAAGUAUUUUUGACCAUAGUAAAACAAAACAGGAAAUUAACAAAUGGUAUUAAUAAGGCUGUGUACAAUGUUUUCACAUAAUAGCAAUUUCAGGGCAAAGUUCGCAUUGUUUGUGCCAUUAGCAGAUGAUAUUUUAAGUCUUAGUAUAUAAUGAAUUAGAUUAUUGACACUUUUACCAAAACUUCAAGUUUUUGGAUAAGAAUUUGUAAAUUGCCUCUACUGACAUACAUAGGAGCAGUAUUGUGAAAUCUUUUUUCUAUCAUUGACUUCAUAUAUAGGGUGAUUACCGAGAAACGCAUGUUUUUUAAAUAACGAGUACUCAGGUUAUUCAGAGCUAAAAAUGUAUUUAUAAGUGGAAAAACAGUGUACACAAUAUGCAAUUUCAGAAUAAAAUUACUUGCAAUUUAGCAUUUAAAAAUUACAUCUCUAAGGUGGUGGUUAGAGAACAUUGUUAAUUUUACAGGUCGCAUUCUGCUUGGAUUCAGUGUUGAAGGUGUUCCUAAAAAUUUGCUACGGAUUUUGUUAUCAUAUCUCUAGGAAUGGUGUUGAUUUCCUGGCAAAUAGCUUCUUUAAGUUCCUGUAUUGUUUUUGGUUUGUUUAUGUAAACUCUACAUUUCGAAAAUCCCCAUAGAAAGAAAUCUGGAAUUUUAAGACCUGGUGAGCGCUCGGCCAAGUGACACCACCAAAACGUGAGAUAACUCUUUUAGGGAAUGUUCGGCGAAGGAAUUCCAUUCUAAUGCGAGCCCUAUGGACUGUUGCCCCAUCUUGUUGGAACCAUACGUCAUUACGUAUCUCAACACGUUGAUGGCACAGUUCCGGCAAGAAAUAUUCUUCCAACAUUUCUAGGUACCGUUGUGGAUUCACUGUCACUGCUCUGCCGUCGCGGCUAGGACUCUGAACUGUUGCAAGGCGCACUCUUUCAACUGUCUCAGGGGUACUAACUGUCCUUGCCAGUCUAGGAGGUUUCUUCUUAAGCAGAGAUCCAAUUGAGUUAACAUUAUGUAUCCAACGCAAUAUCGUGUUACGAUCAGGGAUAGCACCAUGCCGUGCAAUGUUAAAAUUCUCCAUUUGCGUAAUAUCGACGCAUGACAAACGUACGAUGUUCAAGGUCCCACAUCUUGGCAAAAAUUGAAACUGCACACUUCCCCCUCCACAGCUAAACAACUUCCGGCCGUAACCGAACGAUAUUCCUUAUGUACUACGAAAGUCAAAAACAUGCGUUUCCCAGUAAUCACCCUGUACUUAAUAUAAAUAGACAUCCUAUUUAUAAGUUGCCCUUUCAAGUCUGUGUUACAGAAACUCUUUAAAUUACACCUGCUUACUCUGUUGGUGGCUCAAUUGAGCUAAUUUUAUGUUUUAUUUUAAAACUUUAACUUGGGAAUGAAGUGUCUACUGCGCAGUAGUGAGUGUUUCAAUAGUUAAAGCUUGCGUUUAACUAAACUACUUAAAGAUAAAGAUUUGAUCUUUUAUUUCAUUUCUUGAACUCAGCUAUGAAAUCUGCAAUCUAAAACAUGUUAAUAAUCUAACUAUAAGGGAGUUUUGGUAAGAGUCUUAAUACAAUUUUAUAAUAAAAUAACAAACACAAUCAAACUUUGUUUUAGUUUUGUUGUGAUAGCCAGACUAGAAUGUUAAUAGAUAAUUUCUGGUUUGUUCUCUUUUAGCCAGCAAGUGAUACAGAUUAGGCUGCCUUAGUCUCUAGUACACCCUUGUUUAUACAUUCCUUUCAACCUUCAAAGCAGAUACUUGUCACUAGAGUAAUGAAAUGUGCGAAACCAGUUGUUGUAUGAAUCUUUAUAAUACAACUCACCUGAAAAUUA